AGUCAUAUGCUUGUCUCAAAGAUUAAGCCAUGCAUGUCUCAGUACAAGCCAAAUUAAGGUGAAACCGCGAAAGGCUCAUUAAAUCAGUUAUGGUUCCUUAGAUUGUACCCACAUUUACUUGGAUAACUGUGGUAAUUCUAGAGCUAAUACAUGCAAACAGAGCUCCGACCGGAGACGGAAGGAGCGCUUUUAUUAGAUCAAAACCAAUCGGUGGCGAGCUUGCUCGCCAUCGUACACCUUGGUGACUCUGAAUAACUUUUUGCUGAUCGCACGGUCUCGCACCGGCGACGCAUCUUUCAAAUGUCUGCCUUAUCAACUGUCGAUGGUAGGCUCUGCGCCUACCAUGGUUGUAACGGGUAACGGGGAAUCAGGGUUCGAUUCCGGAGAGGGAGCCUGAGAAACGGCUACCACAUCCAAGGAAGGCAGCAGGCGCGCAAAUUACCCACUCCCGGCACGGGGAGGUAGUGACGAAAAAUAACGAUACGGGACUCAUCCGAGGCCCCGUAAUCGGAAUGAGUACACUCUAAACCCUUUAACAAGGACCAAUUGGAGGGCAAGUCUGGUGCCAGCAGCCGCGGUAAUUCCAGCUCCAAUAGCGUAU
RNAcentral lists this ribosomal RNA (601 nucleotides) under Lesteva sp. MNCN AI450. Its description in RNAcentral is "SSU rRNA". It matches the Rfam family "Eukaryotic small subunit ribosomal RNA", at positions 22 to 602 of the family's 1831-position model. The record is from RNAcentral. Lineage: Eukaryota; Metazoa; Arthropoda; Insecta; Coleoptera; Staphylinidae.